GGACAUACAAAUUUGCUUGAGACAGUAGUUUCUGAGCGACGAAGUGUGAUUGGCGAAAAGGAACAGGAGGCUCUCAAUCAUCAGAUGACAUCCUGGUAAUAUGUCCAGUUGUGUACACUGUCUACUAGAAAAUAAUCUCUGCUUUGAUGCUUCCAUAGAGCUCCCUCCUUUAUAUGAAGGGACCUAGAAAAAUUCCCUUUGAUGCACCAUUCUUUUGGCAUGAAAUUCACAUAUAAUCCUUUCCCUUUUAUUCCCACCUGUCAACUCAAUGCUAGACGACAAAUUUCUUUGCCUUGUGCGGAAAACAUUCAACCUCUGAGACAUUUGCUUUAUGUUUGCUGCUGCAAAAUAAUCAACCUCAUUAAACUUCUCACUAGAAGCAUCAUCCAUUGAUGUUCAAAGCAUUCAUUCUCAGACUGUCACAAAGAGGAACCCUUUAAUCAGUCUUUCAGGGUUCUUUUUCCAUUUGCACAUGACUCUGCCUUUGGUCUGUCUUCACUUGACUCAAAAAUUUUGAGCAUUGCCAGUAUUGCCCAGGAUCUGCAACACUUUUUCCUAAAGUCUUUAAACCUGAUCUCAAGUGAUCUUCAGGCUCAGCCAGGAUCAUUUGGAUGAUUUUCUUCCCGAAUUGGAGUUUUAUUUUCUCCGAAUUCGUCAUCAUCUUCUUCUUCUUUGACCUCAAUUUCUUCUUAGACCUCUGUGAUGGUUUUUGCAUCCAACUUUAUAUAUUUGAUCCUAGUUAGCACUGUAUUUGCACGAAGAUUGCAAAUUAGUGUGAUCUUAUUUUUCCUCUCUUUACUUUUCGUUACUUUUUUAUCACGUUCUCAAAAAAUCACUUUUUUUCUCAAAAUCUAUUCUAAAAAAAUUUCUACCCAACCUUUCUCAAAAGUUGCAAUCUAUUUUUAGACAGAUCUUUCAUUGCAUUAGUAUCCCAAACCUCUAAUAUAAUAGCAGAAUCAGUAUAUACAAUUUUUGUACAAUUCAGGCAUAAAUCCAGUCACGUCAAUUGCACAUGCCUUUAAUAAAUAGCAAACUAGUGAUAUCAGUUAAACGGUUAAACCCAUUAAAGAAGAAGAAGAAGAAGCAGCAGCAGCUAAAAAAAUUAGUAUAAGGUAACCACUGAAAUUAUUAAGUGCGUCACAAUUUUUUCUUUUUUAUAUACUUAAAUAGUUGUAAGUAAAAUUACAUAUUCAGGGUUAUAAUAUAUAAUUACCCUAAAAUAAAUUAUUGUUCCACCACAAACAAAAAUCUAAUUUUUUCUUUCUUUUUUUCAACAUCUAAUUGCGCAUAACUUUUUCGACAACUUCUGCUUUCUUUAAGGCAGCAAGAUAAUUUUCCUUUUCUAUGAUAAAUGUAUUUAUACUCCAUGGUGUUAUUUCCAUGAUUUUAUUUAUUUUUGUUUCUUAAUCUAGUGGUUUCAUGAAUUGAGAAUUAAUUAGGAUAAAUUAAGGAUCCUCCUCUUUCCUGUGACGCCUUCGCUUCCGACGCAAAGGCACCACCGCCACCAUAAUGUCUUUGUGAAAGUAAUUUCUAAAGCUUCAUCAACUGACCCUACCCACCCAACCCAGGAAGAUUUUCCAUAGUGCAAAUGAGGUGUAAAGGCUAUUGCCGGUUCGAUUGGGAAAAUCUCAUUUUUAAUUAUACCAAACAGGGUUGAGUUCAAUCUUGCAAUGUCUUUUACAUUCCAUUCAUCACUUGUUGUCAAAGUGUCAUUUAGUUAUAAUGUGACAUGGGAGAAAUAUACUUACAGUGGGUAAGUUCAAUCAUAGUGAAAUUUUAUUUUAUUUUAAACCCAUGUUUGAUUUUCAUUAUUUUAAAACUCAUUUUCGAUCAUACAUUUUUACAAUAAAAUAUUUUACACGUAAAUUCAAUUUUUUUCUACUUUUUACCCUGACGUUUUCUAAAAAUUUACUAUUACAAAACUUAUUUUCCUCCGAAUAAUAAGCAUCAAAUAGGGGCUAAUUAUUGCUAAUUUUUUGUUUGCUAGAAGUACAAUGUUCGAGCAUGCACUAUAACACAGCUAGUGGGGUGAAGCCAAUGUGAAGGAUGUUACAUAAGUUGACCAAUUGAAUUCAGGACACUCGAUUGAAAUGACCCUUAGCUUCACCAUUCAAAUAGCCCUUAAGAAUUGUCUUGUCGCGCUCUUGCCAUAACACGCAAGGCUCUUUUGUAAUUAUAUGACAUUAUAUUUAAAAAAAUCUAUUGAUAAUGUCAUUUAAUUGUCAUACAAACCGAUGCUAUUGAAUAUUCAAUCUUCUCAUUUUGC
RNAcentral lists this long non-coding RNA (2266 nucleotides) under Olea europaea (common olive). RNAcentral describes it as "long non-coding RNA (OEUR_LNC007130)". The record is from RNAcentral. Lineage: Eukaryota; Viridiplantae; Streptophyta; Magnoliopsida; Lamiales; Oleaceae.